Molecule: ribosomal RNA, 425 nt
Filed under: uncultured bacterium
Lineage: Bacteria
Description: bacterial SSU rRNA
Rfam family: Bacterial small subunit ribosomal RNA
Source: RNAcentral
GGGGAAUAUUGGACAAUGGGGGCAACCCUGAUCCAGCCAUGCCGCGUGAGUGAAGAAGGCCUUCGGGUUGUAAAGCUCUUUGGGCGGGGAGGAAGGUUCGAUGGUUAAUAACCAUCGGAAUUGACGUUACCUGCAGAACAAGCACCGGCUAACUCUGUGCCAGCAGCCGCGGUAAUACAGAGGGUGCAAGCGUUAAUCGGAAUUACUGGGCGUAAAGCGUGCGUAGGCGGUUUGAUAAGCUGGAUGUGAAAUCCCCGGGCUUAACCUGGGAACUGCAUUCAGGACUGUUUGACUAGAGUCUGGGAGAGGGUGGUGGAAUUUCCGGUGUAGCGGUGAAAUGCGUAGAUAUCGGAAGGAACAUCAGUGGCGAAGGCGACUGCCUGGCCCAAGACUGACGCUGAGGCACGAAAGCGUGGGUAGCAAAC